This 233-nucleotide ribosomal RNA is filed under the name uncultured bacterium. RNAcentral's name for it is "partial 16S ribosomal RNA". It matches the Rfam family "Bacterial small subunit ribosomal RNA", at positions 103 to 334 of the family's 1533-position model. The record is from RNAcentral.
CGGGUGAGUAACGCGUGAGGGACCUGCCUCAAAGAGGGGGACAACAGUUGGAAACGACUGCUAAUACCGCAUAAGCCCACGGCUCGGCAUCGAGCAGAGGGAAAAGGAGUGAUCCGCUUUGAGAUGGCCUCGCGUCCGAUUAGCUAGUUGGUGAGGUAACGGCCCACCAAGGCGACGAUCGGUAGCCGGACUGAGAGGUUGAACGGCCACAUUGGGACUGAGACACGGCCCAG